Microcebus murinus (gray mouse lemur) is the source of this 1006-nucleotide non-coding RNA. NCBI's taxonomy places the organism in Eukaryota, Metazoa, Chordata, Mammalia, Primates, Cheirogaleidae. The record is from RefSeq and is a predicted model, not a curated record.
UGUCUUUGGCAAGGAGAACUUGUCUCUGCUCUAUCUGUGGAGUACAUGUCCUAUAGUUUCUGAAUACAUCUCGCUUUCACUUUAUACUGUUGGCUCACUCCUGAACUCUUGCUUGUGUGAAACCAAGGACCCACUUGGACUUCAAGAGGCUCCCAACAUUGGGAGUCACUUUCCUGUGUCACAUUCAACAGAAUGACAGGCUAUAUCAAAUGUCACCACCCAAAGGGAUCAUCUGGAGGAGAGAAGUGUGAGUCAUGCUAAUAAAAAGAGAAGUUCAGAAGAGUAAUUGAGGAAAUCAGUUAAUGCAACCUAGAAUGGCUGCCUGUUGCCCAAGAUGUCUUGCAAUUAAUUACUCCACUUAAAAAGAAUUCACUGAUCUCAGAAUGCUGCUUUUUUGAGGAGACUCAGAGAAGAUCUAGUAAUGUUUCGUGCAUCCCUUGGGACUCUCUAUACUUCGCUACCAUGAAUGAUCUGGAGUAAUGGAAUUAAACAAGGUUGGCUCUAAAGCUUGUGGAGAAAUGAAGCAUUGGGAAAUAAAGCUGUGGUAAACCUUAACUACAUGAAGAUGGUAGAGGUAUGUGAAUUCCUAUUUUAUAGAAUCAGUCUAUCUGUUAAGAGGCGUUUGGUGCCAAGCCCCACAGGAAACCUAAUCAAUUGAUCUAUCCAGUAAGAAGGACUGAGUAUUUCCCGUAAUAGAAAGUCUCAAGCUCUGUCAGUGCAGCAACCCGUGAUGUUCCCAAGGCCAAAAGCAGUGGCAUCUCUUCCUUCUGCUGUCCUGUUUCUGCCACGUGGACUCCCAGCGCGACCCUUCCUGCUCACGAGAUGGCUGCUGCGGUUCUGAAGCCACAUCCUCCAUAGCGGAAUGGGGAGGCUGCCCCCUUCACCAUUCUCUGCUCACCUAUAGGCUCCUGCACCUGCUCAUCUCUCAUAAGAUGUCAGAAGAUAACGGUACCAUAACUGAAAUAAGACUGUGGAAAUGGUAUUAGACAAAAAGCAAAUUCGAGUG